AGAGUUUGAUCCUGGCUCAGAAUCAACGCUGGCGGCGUGCCUAACACAUGCAAGUCGAACGCGAAAGUCCCGCAAGGGAUCAGUAGAGUGGCAAACGGGUGAGUAACGCGUGGGCGACCUACCUUCGAGUGGGGGAUAACCUUCCGAAAGGAGGGCUAAUACCGCAUGACAUCCCGUGUUUGGAUACACGGACAUCAAAGCCGGGGAUCGCAAGACCUGGCGCUUGGAGAGGGGCCCGCGUCCGAUUAGCUAGUUGGUGUGGUAACGGCUCACCAAGGCUCCGAUCGGUAUCCGGCCUGAGAGGGCGGACGGACACACUGGGACUGAGACACGGCCCAGACUCCUACGGGAGGCAGCAGUGGGGAAUUGUUCGCAAUGGGCGCAAGCCUGACGACGCAACGCCGCGUGGAGGAUGAAGACCUUCGGGUCGUAAACUCCUUUCGACCGAGAUGAAUUCCCGCCGACCUAACACGUCGGCGGGGUGACAGUAUCGAGGGAAGCAGCCCCGGCUAACUCCGUGCCAGCAGCCGCGGUAAU
Molecule: ribosomal RNA, 537 nt
Filed under: uncultured soil bacterium
Lineage: Bacteria
Description: bacterial SSU rRNA
Rfam family: Bacterial small subunit ribosomal RNA
Source: RNAcentral